AACGAACGCUGGCGGCAUGCCUAACACAUGCAAGUCGAACGAAACCUUCGGGCCUAGUGGCGCACGGGUGCUUAACGCGUGGGAACUUGCCCUUAGGUUCGGAAUAACUCCCCGAAAGGGGUCCUAAUACCGGAUAAUGUCUUCGGACCAAAGAUUUAUGGCCUUUGGAUGGGCCCGCGUUGGAUUAGCUAGUUGGUAGGGUAAAAGCCUACCAAGGCGACGAUCCAUAGCUGGUCUGAGAGGAUGAUCAGCCACACUGGGACUGAGACACGGCCCAGACUCCUACGGGAGGCAGCAGUGGGGAAUAUUGGACAAUGGGCGAAAGCCUGAUCCAGCAAUGCCGCGUGAGUGAUGAAGGCCUUAGGGUUGUAAAGCUCUUUUACCCGGGAUGAUAAUGACAGUACCGGGAGAAUAAGCUCCGGCUAACUCCGUG
This 433-nucleotide ribosomal RNA is filed under the name uncultured bacterium. Its description in RNAcentral is "partial 16S ribosomal RNA". It matches the Rfam family "Bacterial small subunit ribosomal RNA", at positions 29 to 507 of the family's 1533-position model. The record is from RNAcentral.